Pseudogymnoascus pannorum is the source of this 120-nucleotide non-coding RNA. Lineage: Eukaryota; Fungi; Ascomycota; Leotiomycetes; Thelebolales; Thelebolaceae. The record is from Rfam.
ACAUAUGAGCAUAGACUAACGAGACUUGGGCAUUCCCUCUGCUCUGCUAUACACAAGCUUGAAAUCGGUGGAUUGGUAGCUGGGUGGAUUACCACCAGCGAAGACCCACUGUUGUAUGUU